Molecule: signal recognition particle RNA, 298 nt
Filed under: Cebus imitator (Panamanian white-faced capuchin)
Lineage: Eukaryota; Metazoa; Chordata; Mammalia; Primates; Cebidae
Description: Metazoan signal recognition particle RNA (ENSCCAG00000005196.1)
Rfam family: Metazoan signal recognition particle RNA
About the family: The signal recognition particle (SRP) is a universally conserved ribonucleoprotein. It is involved in the co-translational targeting of proteins to membranes.
Source: RNAcentral
GCCAGAUGCAGUGGCGCAUGCCUGUAGUCCCAGCUACUUGGGAGGCUGAGGUGGGAGGAUCACUUGAGCGUAGGAGUUCUGGGCUGUAGUGCGCUAUGCCGAUCGGGUGUCCACACUAAGUUCGGCAUGAAGUGGUGACCUUCCGGGAGCAGGGGACCACCAGGCUGCCUAAGGAGGUGUGAACCAGCUCAGGUCAGAAACAGAGCAGGUCAAAACUCCCGUGCUGAUCAGUAGUGGGAUCGUGCCUGUGAAUAACUACUGCACUCCAGCCUGGGCAACAUAGUGAGACCCCGUCUAA